Molecule: ribosomal RNA, 119 nt
Filed under: Aegilops tauschii subsp. strangulata
Lineage: Eukaryota; Viridiplantae; Streptophyta; Magnoliopsida; Poales; Poaceae
Source: RNAcentral
UGAUGCGAUCAUACCAGCACUAAAGCACCGGAUCCCAUCAGAACUUCGAAGUUAAGCGUGCUUGGGCGAGAGUAGUACUAGGAUGGGUGACCUCCUGGGAAGUCCUCGUGUUGCAUUCC